CAGUCGCCACGGGAAUACGGAGGGGGCUAGCGUUGUUCGGAAUUACUGGGCGUAAAGCGCACGUAGGCGGCUUUGUAAGUUAGAGGUGAAAGCCCGGAGCUCAACUCCGGAAUUGCCUUUAAGACUGCAGAGCUAGCAGGUGAGAGAGGUGAGUGGAAUUCCGAGUGUAGAGGUGAAAUUCGUAGAUAUUCGGAAGAACACCAGUGGCGAAGGCGGCUCACUGGCUCAUACUGGACGCUGAGGUGCGAAAGCGUGGGGAGCAAACAGGAUCAGAUACCCGCGUAGUCCCUGUCUCUUAUAA
Molecule: ribosomal RNA, 301 nt
Filed under: uncultured bacterium
Lineage: Bacteria
Description: partial 16S ribosomal RNA
Rfam family: Bacterial small subunit ribosomal RNA
Source: RNAcentral